RNAcentral lists this ribosomal RNA (301 nucleotides) under uncultured bacterium. RNAcentral's name for it is "partial 16S ribosomal RNA". It matches the Rfam family "Bacterial small subunit ribosomal RNA", at positions 509 to 807 of the family's 1533-position model. The record is from RNAcentral.
CAGUCGCCACGGGAAUACGAAGGGGGCUAGCGUUGCUCGGAAUCACUGGGCGUAAAGGGUGCGUAGGCGGGUCUUUAAGUCAGGGGUGAAAUCCUGGAGCUCAACUCCAGAACUGCCUUUGAUACUGAAGAUCUUGAGUUCGGGAGAGGUGAGUGGAACUGCGAGUGUAGAGGUGAGAUUCGUAGAUAUUCGCAAGAACACCAGUGGCGAAGGCGGCUCACUGGCCCGAUACUGACGCUGAGGCACGAAAGCGUGGGGAGCAAACAGGAUUAGAUACCCCAGUAGUCCCUGUCUCUUAUAC